This 2022-nucleotide long non-coding RNA is filed under the name Ananas comosus (pineapple). RNAcentral describes it as "long non-coding RNA (ACOM_LNC007410)". The record is from RNAcentral. Lineage: Eukaryota; Viridiplantae; Streptophyta; Magnoliopsida; Poales; Bromeliaceae.
UAUAUAUAGAACUAGGCUAAUAUACUAUUAAUAGCAGCAAGUCAUUAGUAGUACAAAGUUUUUGGCCAUUGGAUUAAGAGAUGUGCGGUUAGAAUGAUGUGGGCCCCCUAGAGUUGAGUGGGUGGUUGGUUGAAUAGUAUGAUCUAACGGGUGAAAGUGAUCAAAAGGAUAGUUCUAACGGCGGAAAACUUGGUAGCACCAAGUGUUUUGUGCUAUUAAUAGUAUAGUAGCCGGACUAUAUAUGAGUCCGGCUACUAUACUAUCGGUAGCACGAGGCCUCCCGUGCUAUCAAGUUGUUUUCGAUGAUGCAGCUUCCAAAUCAACGAUCGGCUCCGUUAGACUUGAUCUACACGAUUAAAGAUAUUUGAAACUAAAUUUCAUAAUUUUUUGAUAUCAUUUACCUAUCAAACAAAUAGUCUAAAAUUGAAUGGCUGAAAAUAAAAAUCUCAUAGAAAAUGAUGAUAAAAGAUUUAAAUUCAAGAUCAGAUAUACUCAUCUUACUCUAAAUAGUGAAAAGAAUUUUCUAUAAAAUUUUCAUCAGAUUUGGAUUGUUUUACACCGUUAAACUCAUAAACACGCCACAUCGGCCAUUAAAAUUGUCAAUUUUGAGAUCUUUUGAUCACUAGUCAAUUGAUGUCGAAAAAAUCUGAAAUUUAGUUUCCAAAUACUUUUAAUAGUGUAGAUCAAGUUUAACGGAGCCGAUCGACAAUUCGAAAGUCGCAACAUUGAAAACGAACUGGAAGCACGGAAGGCUCCGUGCUUCAUAGCAUAGUAGCCUCACUCUCUCUCUCUCUCUCUCUCUCUCUCUCUCUCUCUCUAUAUAUAUAUAUAUACACACACUAUCUACUAUCUGUAUACCUAUUAUACACAUUGAAGAUGAAUAUGAUCCUUUGAGUGGGUAUUACUCUCCAAUUUGGAAAGCAUUGCUCCUAUUUUAUUUUAUUUUAUUUAUAUUUUAUUUGGGGGCAACUACUUAUAUACAUUUUAAAAGUUUUUUAUUUUCUUAUUUAACCACAUAAAAGGCUAAUAUUAAAAAUAUUCUUUUAACAUUUCAAGUCAUUUCAAAUAUAUCUAUAAAAUUAAACUUUGUUAGCGAACUGUUAGAAACAAUCGUUAUCUUUGUAAAAUUAUUGUUUUGUCCUUUAAAAUAUAUGCUUCUACUAUCACCAGCUUUUCUUAUUUGCUUUUAAGUUAGGAACAAAACAAUUGUUUUGACUAUUUUCUUUUUCAAAUGUAUCUUUCUGCUGUCAUCAACUUUUUUCAUUUAUCCUUAAGUUAGAGUGAAAGAGAUAUUUUAUUUUUUUUAAGCUCUAGUAGAAAUUUAAUUUAAGUUUAAUCCGAGAUGACUUAAUAAAUACUAAUAGCAAUGCUAUUUUUGAGCAAUUGAAAAUAUACGAGGUACAUAUUUGAAACAAAAAAUUGGAUUAUAUUAGGUAAUUCAAAAGUUUUCGGAGGUAUAUUAGAUAUUAUGACUUUUUAUAAUUUUAUUUGUUUUUACUUUUAUUCUUUUUUAAAAAUUUAAAAAUAAAAUUAAAGUAAAAGAGAAUAAAGUAGAAUUAGGAUUUAUAAAUUUUUUUACUUAUUUUUUAAUAGGGUUAAUUGCAUACAGGUCCCCACAAAUAUAGUAAAUUACAAAUAUAUUCCUAUAAAGUUCAACUUUCAUAAGUUAUUCCUGCAAAAGUCUUAUAUUUUCAGAUAUAUCCCUCUGGUUUAUUACCGUUAGAGAACCGUUAAAAAACUGUUUAUAUUUUCAAUUUUGUCAUCACAAAUAUAUCCCUCCAAAAGUCAUAACAGAUUAACAGUAUAAUAUAAAAAAGAUAAAAAUGUUAAAAAUUAACUAGGGUAAAUCAUUUAAUCUAAAAUUAACUAAACUUUUCUAACAGAUUCUAAUGGUAAGAACAUAUCUGAAAAUAUUAAGACUUUUACAGAAAUAACGUAUGAAAGUUGAACUUUACAGAUAUAUAUUUGUAAUUUACUAUAUUUUCGGAGAUACGUACGCAAUUAAUCCUUUUUUUUAGUAAA